Molecule: ribosomal RNA, 452 nt
Filed under: Thalassiosira antarctica
Lineage: Eukaryota; Bacillariophyta; Thalassiosirophyceae; Thalassiosirales; Thalassiosiraceae
Description: partial Bacterial small subunit ribosomal RNA
Rfam family: Bacterial small subunit ribosomal RNA
Source: RNAcentral
AGGUGUUGGGUUAAGUCCCGCAACGAGCGCAACCCCUGUGGUUAGUUACCAGCACAUAAUGGUGGGGACUCUAGCCAGACUGCCUACGCAAGUAGUGAGGAAGGUGGGGACGACGUCAAGUCAUCAUGGCCCUUACGUCCAGGGCUGCACACGUGCUACAAUGGAUGGUACAGAAGGUCGCCACCUAGCAAUAGGGCGCAAAUCUUUAAAACCAUUCUCAGUUCGGAUCGGAGUCUGCAACUCGACUCCGUGAAGUUGGAAUCGCUAGUAAUCGCGUAUCAGCCAUGACGCGGUGAAUACGUUCCCGGGCCUUGUACACACCGCCCGUCAAGCGAUGGAAGUCAGGAGUACCUGAUGUCGCCCCAAUAAGGGGUGCCUAGGGUAAGCCUGGUAACUGGCGCUAAGUCGUAACAAGGUAGCCGUACCGGAAGGUGCGGCUGGAUCACCUCCUU